Molecule: long non-coding RNA, 2772 nt
Organism: Pyrus x bretschneideri (Chinese white pear)
Lineage: Eukaryota; Viridiplantae; Streptophyta; Magnoliopsida; Rosales; Rosaceae
Exons: 2
Source: RefSeq, a predicted model, not a curated record
ACAUCUUGCUCAAGCAAAGCAUCGUCUUUCGUUGCUUGCUUUGUCUCCAUGCCACUUCAAGGUAAGAAAAAUUAAUUUUUCUUGUCUUCUUAAUUUUUUGGGAGUCUUAGGGCUUGAAAUUUGGCUCAACGGGGGUCGAAGACGUGCAAUAGGUGGCUAGGAAGCCACAACUGGGUCUGGGUGCUUCGGCACUAUGAUGCCGUGCUUGGGCUGGUACUCGGGCCACUGUUGAUAGGCCAGGAAGACGCGGCCCUUUUUUUUUUUUUUUUUUUUCAAAGCCUGGGCUCGGGCUCGUGCCUGGGGAAGAGAAGCAAGAAGACCAAAAGGCCUUUGGGUCGUGGAAAAGAGAGGAGCCAACGUGGGCUAGGCUCGGGCCCGUGCUUGAGGGAGAAAGGAAAGAGAGAGGCUGAUAACCCCUUUUGGGGCGAAAGGCUUGUUGUGCAGUGUCCUUUUUUUUUUUUUUUUUUUUGGUUGGUACAACCGUCUAACGAAUCUUCUUUGCAUUUUUGUAGAAUUUCUUCGAACAGGUCUUCCUCGUGCCACAAGAAUGAUGAUGGGUGUUGCCAUUGUAUCGCCAAGGUAAGUAUUUGAGCAAGGUUGGCUAUGUCAAGCCUGCUCACUUCAAGAUUGGUUUCGAUGACUUGUUUAAAGGCUUCCUUGAGGCGUAUAGGCAUGCUAUUCCGUCAAGAGUGCAUGUGAAGCGUGCCAAGGAUAAUAGCAGUCGUGAGCCAUGUGGUAGGGCUUGGAGGGCCAUCAAGUUCUUCGAAUGUGGUCCGUGUGAUGGUGAAAUUCCUCAAUCUAAGCCAAUUCUUUGACUUAGAUCUAACCGUUAACGAAUUUUGGUACUUCUUUGACGUUGGCCACAUCGAGGGAGUUGGGUAGCUGGGAUCUCGCCAUAGGCUUUUCGAUCAUUUGAGCAAGGGAGAUCAUGACUGGGCCAAUGAGACUUUGGAGAUAAGUGGAGAAUGGGAGUUUGAUUCUUUCCUUGAGUUGCAUGAUCCAACAGUCUUUGUAUCCGAUUCGAAAUUUGGCUCAACUUCUAAGACUUUUCCAAACAUGAAGAAAGUGCAUGUCGCUAUGGGUAUCCCUUCCGAGUACCAUGAGUGGCGUUGGCUACUUAGUCCUCUUUGUAGGGAGUUGCCCCCAAGAGAAGAGAUAAAGGGAUCAAUGCGGAGGCAUUGGCUCACUUGAUCGCCAUUGCGGAGCCCGCUGUGAGUGAAAGUGGGAAGAAGAGACAAUCCCCACCUACUCAAAAGACUUAUGCUGAGAAAAAGCCAAAGACUUUUUCCGUUUCUCGCGAGGGUUCGCCGGUUGCUCCUAAGCUUAUGAUUGACUUAACUUUUCCCAAGGGUGAGAAUGAUGAAGUUGCUAGAUCUAUACUGGUGAUGCCUGCAGUUCCAAAGGUGAUUUGUUCAAUUGCUGAUAGGAUUGCUCAGCAUAGAAGUUUCUCCGUGCCUCGAGUGCCAAAAUGUCCAUCUGGGACAAUGUCUAGUUCACCUUUGGAGAGGCUUGCUACUAUGAAGAAUGACAAGGUUCAUUCGCUUGCUAAAAUGGUGCCAAAAUUCUUUCCCUUUGCUGUCGAAACCGACUCGUCUGCUUAAAAGAAGAAGACUGCUCAUGUGGCCAUCUAUGAGAAAUCCACCAAGUCUGUUUCUAGGGAAGUUGCUAAGAUUUGUACGCUUUUGAGGCCAAAUUUUCUCCAGGACAUAGAUGUGUGUGACAAAUUUGCUGAUGACAUCAAAGGGGUUGUUGGCUCGAUUUCCUUUGCAAAACAUACGAUUGAGUAUAGGAGGACUACUCUGCUGGCUUUGAUGCAAAAAAUGACAAAUCUAUAUUCCUUGAUCAAGAGGAUACCAAGGCUGCCAAGGAGGUGGCAAGAACUAUGGCAGCUAAAGCUUACUCCUCGGCUAAGAAAGUCAACAAGUUGGAAUCUGAGCUUGCUACUUUAAAUGAGUCUAAUAUUCCUGCCCUCACUUCUCUGCAGCUUGAGAUUGUUUGCCAAAAGAUCAUGAAUUUGAAGACUAGGCUUGACGCAAUCCAAGUAAAGUAUGAAAGUGAAGGGAAAGAGAUCGGGUGUUACAUACCUUAUAUUCAAAACCUUGAUUGUGUUAUCUUUGAGCUUUUCUAUGCUGCUUACACAAAGGAUGAAGAACUGAUCGCUGCUGACAACCAAGUGAUCUACUUCAAGAAGGUUGUUGAUAGGCCUGAACGUUAAGUGUUGGAACUUCAAGGUGCUUUAAAGAUCAACGAUCGUCUGAAGAAAGAAGUGGAGGAGCUGCAGCGGGUCCGUGCUUGUCUGCAUGAAGAUAAUGAGCAAUUGAAGGUGAGAAGGUUGGGUUUGUAGAUUUCUACAAGCUUACUUAAAGUAAAGCCGAUUUCUACAAGUUGGGUUAUGUAGACCAUCUUUUUGGGUGGUCGUCUGACUUUGAGUUUUCUGGUAAAGACUUCGAGACCUUCUCUAUUUCUCCGGAAUACUUGCUCGGCUUUACUUUUGAGUCUUCUAUUGGUGAAGUAGUUGGAGAGGUUGGUGCCCAGGCUGGGGCAGCUGGAGGUGAAGUGUCAGAUAGUGCUGCUACUGAGAACAUCGGGGCUGCUGAAGGUAUGGCGACUGAGUAGUCGUGGGAUGUCUAAGUUGCUGAAGAGUAGUCUUCUAAUUAGCCUUUAGGAUUUUCUUUGCUUUCCUUGUUGCUUUUGUUUUUUCUUGAACUCUUUCGGUCUUUUGCUAGUUGUUUAUCAGUUUUGCUAGAAAAUUUAAUAAACUUGUUUCCUUCA